AUGGUAUGUUAUGUCGUGUUAUGUUAUGUCAUGGUAUGUUAUGUCAUGGUAUGUCAUGUCAUGUUAUGUCCAUGUCUCAAUCUCUGAAUGCUCGGCUAUGAAAAGCCAACUGACAUUUAACUUCUGAGGUGCAGACCUGUUGCUACCCUCUAUAACAAGCGUCUCCAGACUUUUAUAGCAUGAGCUCCUUUAAAAAAAAAUGAAACAUGUCACAAGCAAACUCUUUAAAUUUUUAUUUAUUUAUAGCUUUUAAAUAGGCACAUUCUUCUCCUCUACCCGGCAACUCUUCCCCGGGUUCCUCGCUGUAUAAAAGAUGUCAAUAUACCUGAUAGAAUAAUGGUUCAUAAACGGUAAUCAACACGACAGCCCCACAACAUUGUCCUUAGUAUUUUCCAGAUUUUUUUUCUUCUUCUCCUGGUUUUGACUCCGUUUUUAACUCUCAAUAGUACAACUGUUCAUAGAGAAACAGCAACUGAAUGUUCUGAGUCCACGUCUAUGCUUAAAUCACAUCAGAAGACCUUCAGACCUAAACAUAACGAUUUUAGAUUUUUUGAGUGUAAUUCCCUUUUAAUUGCGCAUCGAGCCAGAGAGAGAUGUGUCGCUGUAGUGAUGCUUCUGUCAGGACGACUGCAGCUCGCGUCAUGGUAGAGUUUGUAAAACAAUGGCCAUCCAAUUGAUGUAAAUAAUCAUGACCGUUGUGUCAGGUAAGCCUACUUCACAGUUAACAUUUAAUUGACCACGUAAUUGAUGUAAAUAAUCAUGACCGUUCUGUCAGGUAAGCCUACUUUACAGUUAACAUUUAAUUGACCACGUAAUUGAUGUAAAUAAUCAUGACUUUUCUGUCAGGUAAGCCUACUUUACAGUUAACAUUUAAUUGACCAGGUAAAUGGGGAAAGUCUUUCUGUCUCUGCCGCUCUGACAUUUCUCAACCAUAUAUUUAUAUAUUCUUAAUUCCAGUCCUUUACUUAGAUGUGUGUGUAUUGGGUAUGUUGUGAAAUUGUAAGAUAUUACUGCACUGUUGGAACUAGAAGCACAAGCAUUUCACUACACCUGCAAUAACAUCUGCUAACCAUGCGUAUGUGACCAAAUUUGGGACUCCCCAAUCAUGGCCAGUUGUGAUACAGCCUAGAAUCGAACCAGGGUCUGUAGUGAACACCUCUUGCACUGAGAUUCUGUGCCUUAGAUCGCUGCGCCACUCAGGAGCCCAACUACAUGGUGAGCUACUCAUAGGUGGGCUGUGAGCUGCUGGUAGAUGUCCAUCCACCUAUUGGAGAGCCCUGAUCUAUAACCACUGUGAUUAUUAUCUCACCCUGCUGGUCAUCUAUGAUCGUCUGAACAUCUUGAAGAACCAUCUGGCCUUAAUGGCCGUAUACUCCUUAUAAUCACCAAUCUCUGAGGACUGGUCCACCCCUCUGAGCCUGGUUCCUCUCUACCCAGCACAACCAGAAAGAGGACUGGUCCACCCCUCAGAGCCUGGUUCCUCUCCACCCGGCACAACCAGAAAGAGGACUGGUCCACCCCUCAGAGCCUGGUUCCUCUCCACCCGGCACAACCAGAAAGAGGACUGGUCCACCCCUCAGAGCCUGG
Long non-coding RNA from Oncorhynchus tshawytscha (Chinook salmon), 1587 nucleotides. The record is from Ensembl. Lineage: Eukaryota; Metazoa; Chordata; Actinopteri; Salmoniformes; Salmonidae.